Ostrea edulis (European flat oyster) is the source of this 689-nucleotide long non-coding RNA. RefSeq lists it as uncharacterized. Lineage: Eukaryota; Metazoa; Mollusca; Bivalvia; Ostreida; Ostreidae. The record is from RefSeq and is a predicted model, not a curated record. The transcript is spliced from 2 exons.
UUUCAAUGUUCCUUUCUGGGCGCGAAGUCAGGGAAAUAAUCGCAAGGAUGGAGAACAUUCAACAGAAUCAGUAUGCAAUCAAGCAUGGAAUGGAUUCCAGAUAGGAAUAUAGGAUUCACCUUACACUCAGAAACUGGGGGAUAGGCCUAGUUGUUCAAAAUACACGGCGUUGCUGCAUGGACUUGAAGAGAUAGUUAUGAAUUUAGAAUAUCAUCAAGUGACUUUUAAUAAGGCACUGUUUUCAGUGGAUGAACCGACAUCAUGCAGUGUGACAGGAAAACGCCCGUGAGACCAAAGAUGGCUUAGAUAAAAGGGAAGACGAUGCAGAAGGUGCAUAUAUACAAGUUCAAGACAUAGAUAUUUUAAAUUUUGCAUGAUGUUCAUUUAUAAAACCUGUUAUGCAACCUCUCAAAUAAUUCAUUAUGCUAUCUUUUAAGCCUCUGUACCAGAGAAAAAUCCAGAGAUGGCCCUCAAAGAAGUUAGAAACAAGAUGAGAGACCGUCUCAAGUUGUUUAGGUCUGGAGCAGUGACCUUCCCCCACCCACGAGUCGAAGAAAUAGAUCUUUGAACCAGGUUACCCGUGACAUCAAGAUAAACAAAAUUCAACUUCAGGGACAAUUUGAUAAUACCUGUUUAAAAAUUUUUUUUUAGCUCACCUGGGCCGAAGGUUCAAGUGAGCUUUUCUGAUC